GCGUUGAUCCGAAAGAGUCUAUAGAGAGAGACGAAUGGUCCACCUAUGUAGCAGCCCGCGGGCCAUACCUAAGAUGACGAAUGAUGUCUGUCCUUUUGUUGUUUUCCACAUGACGUUAAAAUUCAAGUGAGAGAAACUAAAUCUCUCACCAAAAUACAAACAGUAAUUUUUUUGAAUUAUCUAUCUCAAAAGUUUCUCUAUCAUUGAAACGGUAUUUUUCUGCUAAUAAAAC
This 232-nucleotide long non-coding RNA is filed under the name Elaeis guineensis (African oil palm). RNAcentral describes it as "long non-coding RNA (EGUI_LNC062809)". The record is from RNAcentral. Lineage: Eukaryota; Viridiplantae; Streptophyta; Magnoliopsida; Arecales; Arecaceae.